UCCCUUACAAAAGGCACCUGUAACAACAUCCGAUCUUGUAGCUAAAUUUAAAGCUAGGCUAAAAACUCCAGAGGACAAGAAGGCUUUUGCAGACAUUCUCCGGCGAAUUUCUAAGAUACAAAAGACGAACGGACCUAACAACUAUGUCGUGUUGAGAGAAAAGUAAUCGCUCAAUCGCCAUGUUUAAACGUUGUGCCGAAAUAAAAAUUUUCUUAUGCUUUGUUCUUCAAUUAAGAGGGAAAAACGUAUCUACCUCUUUCUGGAAAUGGAUUUUGCAAGUGGCAAAGAUAGCCAGAAACAAGAGGUGAUAAAGAAGGGUAUCUGGUCUAUCAUCAUUGUAAGCAAAGCUUCUUCCUGUGUGAAAUUUAAGACAGGUACCUGGAGACAUUGUAUACCUACAUGGAUUUUACUGGAGGUUUCCAGUUUCGAAUGGCUAAACAAUCUCACACAGCUCUAA
Molecule: long non-coding RNA, 457 nt
Organism: Hibiscus syriacus
Lineage: Eukaryota; Viridiplantae; Streptophyta; Magnoliopsida; Malvales; Malvaceae
Exons: 2
Source: RefSeq, a predicted model, not a curated record